RNAcentral lists this long non-coding RNA (1011 nucleotides) under Ananas comosus (pineapple). RNAcentral's name for it is "long non-coding RNA (ACOM_LNC000458)". Lineage: Eukaryota; Viridiplantae; Streptophyta; Magnoliopsida; Poales; Bromeliaceae. The record is from RNAcentral.
AAAAUAUGAUGAAAUAGGUUGAAGCUAGGGGUGAAAGUGCUUAGGAUAAACUCCGAUCGAAUCCGGAUUCGAUCAGAUGCGAAUAAGAUCAAUGUCAAAAUUAUGCAUAUGGUCGAAUUCGAAUUCAGAUUUAGAUGUUAUUAUUUAUUUACAAUAAUUUUGAACUCGGAUUAGAUGUGGAUAUUCAAAAUUUAACAUAUGCUAUCAAUUUAUAUAUUGUGGAGAAAUAAAAGAGUGGAUGGUCUAGCUUAGAUGGUAAAGAGUAUUCUCAUUUGCAAGAGGUGUGGAAUUCAAUUCCCCACAAUUGAUUGUUUUUUAUCGAGAGAGAUGAGGGAGACAUUAAUAUAUAGAGAGAGAGACAGAGUCCGGCUACUAUGCUAUUAUAAUAAUAUCAAGUUUUCUAUCAUUAGAUUUACACUUUGAUCAUUUAUAUCCGUUAGAUUAUACUAUUCAACCAACCACCUACUUAACUCUUUAAUAUUAAAAGAUACCACUAUCAUCUUAACCGCACGUCCUUUCAUCCAACGUCCGAAAACUCAAUAGCACCAAGCGUUUAGUACUAUCUAUAGUAUAGUAGCAUAUAUAUAUAUAUAGAGUGAGGCUACUAUGCUAUCGGAAGCACGGAGUCUUUCGUGCUUCCAACUCGUUUUCGAUAUUGCGAUUUUUGAAUCAUAGAUCGCCUCCGUUAAACUUGAUCUAGAAUAUUUGAAGUACCUAGAAAAUAAAUUUUAUGAUUUUACGAUAUCAUUUGCCUAGUGAACGAAGGGGCUCAAAAUCAACGGCUGAAAAUAAAAAUCUUACAAAAUAUAAUAAUAUGACAUUAAAAUUUUAAAUCAAAGAUAUUGAUCUUGUUUUAUAUAGUAUAAAGAAUUUUCUAUCAAAAUUUCACGUGAUUUGGAUAUUUCUACACCGUUAAACUUGCAAACGGCUCACUACGGCCAUUGAAAUUUAUUGAUUUUGAGCCCAUUCGAUUACUAGGCAAAUGAUAUCGAAAAAUAAUAAAAUUUAUUU